This is a long non-coding RNA of Bufo gargarizans (Asiatic toad), 351 nucleotides long. RefSeq lists it as uncharacterized. NCBI's taxonomy places the organism in Eukaryota, Metazoa, Chordata, Amphibia, Anura, Bufonidae. The transcript is spliced from 2 exons. The record is from RefSeq and is a predicted model, not a curated record.
GCGAUUAUGUGAUUGGCUGACACAUGUGCUGUGUGAUUGCCACCCGGAAGUGCUGGAAUCAGGUCGCAUUUAAUGACCAGGGAGCACUGAAGGAGGCUGUCUCACAACAUGAACACCCCUGGUACAGAUGAUCAUGUAAUCAAGAAAAUUGCAACUAAAAUUGCUAAAAUGAAAAAGAGGCAUCGGAAAACGAUCAUGGAAUGCCGAGCCACAAUCAGAAAAUCCCAGAAGUUGCUUCAGGAAUUCCAUGACCAAUAUAGAGAGGACCUGAAGGAACUUGCAGACUUGCAGGAACAACUGCAAAACUUGCCUUAAACUUUUUUUUUAUUAAAAAAGUUUUCUUCAGUUAAA